GCUCAGGAUGAACGCUGGCGGCGUGCCUAAUACAUGCAAGUCGAGCGAACAGAUAAGGAGCUUGCUCCUUUGAAGUUAGCGGCGGACGGGUGAGUAACACGUGGGUAACCUACCUAUAAGACUGGAAUAACUUCGGGAAACCGGAGCUAAUGCCGGAUAACAUAUAGAACCGCAUGGUUCUAUAGUGAAAGAUGGUUUUGCUAUCACUUAUAGAUGGACCCGCGCCGUAUUAGCUAGUUGGUAAGGUAAAGGCUUACCAAGGCGACGAUACGUAGCCGACCUGAGAGGGUGAUCGGCCACGCUGGAACUGAGACACGGUCCAGACUCCUACGGGAGGCAGCAGUAGGGAAUCUUCCGCAAUGGGCGAAAGCCUGACGGAGCAACGCCGCGUGAGUGAUGAAGGUUUUCGGAUCGUAAAACUCUGUUAUUAGGGAAGAGCAAAUGCGUAAGUAACUGUGCGCAUCUUGACGGUACCUAAUCAGAAAGCCACGGCUAACUACGUGCCAGCAGCCGCGGUAAUACGUAGGUGGCAAGCGUUAUCCGGAAUUAUUGGGCGUAAAGCGCGCGUAGGCGGUUUCUUAAGUCUGAUGUGAAAGCCCACGGCUCAACCGUGGAGGGUCAUUGGAAACUGGGAAACUUGAGUGCAGAAGAGGAAAGUGGAAUUCCAUGUGUAGCGGUGAAAUGCGCAGAGAUAUGGAGGAACACCAGUGGCGAAGGCGACUUUCUGGUCUGUAACUGACGCUGAUGUGCGAAAG
RNAcentral lists this ribosomal RNA (755 nucleotides) under uncultured bacterium. Its description in RNAcentral is "bacterial SSU rRNA". It matches the Rfam family "Bacterial small subunit ribosomal RNA", at positions 22 to 759 of the family's 1533-position model. The record is from RNAcentral.